Molecule: ribosomal RNA, 158 nt
Filed under: Coprinopsis aff. phlyctidospora phylogenetic group B
Lineage: Eukaryota; Fungi; Basidiomycota; Agaricomycetes; Agaricales; Psathyrellaceae
Description: 5.8S rRNA
Rfam family: 5.8S ribosomal RNA
About the family: 5.8S ribosomal RNA (5.8S rRNA) is a component of the large subunit of the eukaryotic ribosome.
Source: RNAcentral
ACAACUUUCCGCAACGGAUCUCUUGGCUCUCGCAUCGAUGAAGAACGCAGCGAAAUGCGAUAAGUAAUGUGAAUUGCAGAAUUCAGUGAAUCAUCGAAUCUUUGAACGCACCUUGCGCUCCUUGGUAUUCCGAGGAGCAUGCCUGUUUGAGUGUCAUU